UCCCUUUUUCUAUGAUUUCGGGUAUCUUCUGUUUCGAUGCGAUCUCAGAGCUUUUUUCCUGUUCGUUGAAGAGUGUUUGACUGGUGUUAUGGCUUAAUACUCUGUUGGGCUUUUCGGGUUAUCCCGGGUACAAGUUUAUUGAUGCUUUCCUUGCCUACGGGAGAAAGGAGGGGAUCUUCGGAUCUUGCCCUUUGGAUGAGCCUAUGUCGGAUUCCCUUACUGGAGGGGAAAAGGCCUACCCGCGAAACGACGCGCUCCUGGUCUAUCGGGGUGGGCGUCCCUUCUGGGAGUGAAACAUUCACCGUCCUCCUGCUCGCGGAACCGGGGGGGAAUUUUGCACUUGGGGGACAACCCUGACCCAAACACGGGCGGGGUGUAAAAAAGGCUUUCGCUGUUAAAAGCUUUUUCCGCUUGGAGGAAAUAUUUAUGGCUAAUACUCAUCACGCUUGUCUUUACUUACACAAGAAGCACUAGCUAAC
RNAcentral lists this ribosomal RNA (479 nucleotides) under Marinobacter nauticus. Its description in RNAcentral is "Marinobacter hydrocarbonoclasticus partial 16S ribosomal RNA". Lineage: Bacteria; Pseudomonadati; Pseudomonadota; Gammaproteobacteria; Pseudomonadales; Marinobacteraceae. The record is from RNAcentral.